GAGUGAGGAAGGCUUUCGGGUCGUAAAGCUCUGUUGCCAGGGAAGAAUAAGGAUGAGAGUAACUGCUCAUUCGAUGACGGUACCUGAGAAGAAAGCCCCGGCUAACUACGUGCCAGCAGCCGCGGUAAUACGUAGGGGGCAAGCGUUGUCCGGAAUUAUUGGGCGUAAAGCGCGCGCAGGCGGUUCUUUAAGUCUGGUGUCUAAGUGCGGGGCUCAACCCCGUGAUGCACUGGAAACUGGGGAACUUGAGUGCAGAAGAGGAGAGCGGAAUUCCACGUGUAGCGGUGAAAUGCGUAGAGAUGUGGAGGAACACCAGUGGCGAAGGCGGCUCUCUGGACUGUAACUGACGCUGAGGCGCGAAAGCGUGGGGAGCAAACAGGAUUAGAUACCCUGGUAGUCCACGCUGUAAACGAUGAGUGCUAGGUGUUGGGGGUAUCAUGCCCUCGGUGCCGAAGUUAACACAUUAAGCACUCCGCCUGGGGAGUACGGUCGCAAGACUG
Molecule: ribosomal RNA, 500 nt
Filed under: uncultured Bacillota bacterium
Lineage: Bacteria; Bacillati; Bacillota
Description: bacterial SSU rRNA
Rfam family: Bacterial small subunit ribosomal RNA
Source: RNAcentral